ACAAGUCCGGUGGUGCAGUAUUCUAGUCGGUCGUCCAUGCGCCUGAAGGCGGGGCUAAAAAUCCGUCAAUGGCACAUCGAUGAAGUCUCUGGUGUUGGCUUCUUUCGCCCAGAUUGGGGCUGAUGCUGGGGGUUAAGAUUGUCGGGCGUCUUGCAACGGCAUGCAAGAGCCGACCCGGCAAUCGUGGAGGCCCGUUAGGGUGGAGGGCGCAAAUGACCUUCUACUCUGCGGGGUAGGAACCUGUCAUGCGGCCAAACAGCUGUGUACAGUGUAGCCUGCCUUGCGUGGCCUUGGUGGAUGAGAGGAACGCCUUGUUUGUCUGGCCGGACAAAUGAGAAGAUUGCCUUCUGAAACCUUGGCUGCAAAAGAGGAUAGGGCCAUGGAGGAUCGCUGAGGAAAGCUCCUAGACUGUUGGUAAGGUAUACCGGGGAUUACAGUGUGCUCUCACAGGCAAUCUGGUCGUGUGAACGGAAACGCCACAUCGUUUUGUUUAAAGGGAAACCGCUCUCUCGGCGACGGAGGGUACGAAACGGGGAAAGCCAACCAGACCUUAUGGCGCAAGGUUUAUUCGGUAUAUCACCACCGCACUAUU
RNAcentral lists this small RNA (592 nucleotides) under human gut metagenome. The record is from RNAcentral.